AGCAGCCGCGGUAAUUCCAGCUCCAAUAGCGUAUAUUAAAGUUGUUGCAGUUAAAAAGCUCGUAGUUGAAUUUCGGGAUCAAGGAAUCGGUCAUGCCUUGGUAUGUACUGGUUUUAUUGGUUCUCACCUUCUAAAGAACCAUAAUGUCAUUCAUUUGAUGUUAUGGGGAAUUAGGACUGUUACCUUGAAAAAAUUAGAGUGUUUAAAGCAGGCUUACGCUUGAAUACAUUAGCAUGGAAUAAUGAAAUAGGACGUUCGAUCCUAUUUUGUUGGUUUCUAGGAUUGACGUAAUGAUUAAAUAGGGAUAGUUGGGGGCAUUAGUAUUCAAUUGUCAGAGGUGAAAUUCUUGGAUUUAUGAAGACUAACUACUGCGAAAGCAUUUGCCAAGGAUGUUUUCAUUAAUCAAGAACGAAAGUUAGGGGAUCGAAGACGAUCAGAUACCGUCGUAGUCUUAACCAUAAACUAUGCCGACUAGGGAUCGGGAUGAUGUUAAUUUUUAAUGACUCAUUCGGCGCCUUAC
RNAcentral lists this ribosomal RNA (520 nucleotides) under uncultured Glomus. RNAcentral's name for it is "SSU rRNA". It matches the Rfam family "Eukaryotic small subunit ribosomal RNA", at positions 569 to 1091 of the family's 1831-position model. The record is from RNAcentral. Lineage: Eukaryota; Fungi; Glomeromycota; Glomeromycetes; Glomerales; Glomeraceae.